CCGUAGCAAACAGCUCAGUAACACGUGGCCAAACUACCCUCUGGACGCGGACACCCUCGGGAAACUGAGGCUAAUCCGCGAUACGGCUCCCACGCUGGAAUGCGGGGAGCCGGAAAGGCUCCGGCGCCAGAGGAUGUGGCUGCGGCCGAUUAGGUAGACGGUGGGGUAACGGCCCACCGUGCCCAUAAUCGGUACGGGAUGUGAGAGCAAAUAGCCCGGAGAUGGAUUCUGAGACAAGAAUCCAGGCCCUACGGGGCGCAGCAGGCGCGAAACCUUUACACUGCACGCCAGUGCGAUAAGGGGACCCCGAGUGCGAGGGCAUACAGUCCUCGCUUUUGUACACCGUAAGGAGGUGUACGAAUAAGGGCUGGGCAAGACCGGUGCCAGCCGCCGCGGUAAUACCGGCAGCCCGAGUGAUGGCCGCUGUUAUUGGGCCUAAAGCGUCCGUAGCCGGCCGAACAAGUCUGUCGGGAAAUCCAUCCGCCUAACGGAUGGGCGUCCGGCAGAAACUGUUCGGCUUGGGGCCGGAAGAUCCGAGGGGUACGUCCGGGGUAGGAGUGAAAUCCCGUAAUCCUGGACGGACCGCCGGUGGCGAAAGCGCCUCGGAA
Molecule: ribosomal RNA, 608 nt
Filed under: uncultured euryarchaeote
Lineage: Archaea; Methanobacteriati; Methanobacteriota
Description: bacterial SSU rRNA
Rfam family: Archaeal small subunit ribosomal RNA
Source: RNAcentral